GACGAACGCUGGCGGCGUGCCUAAUACAUGCAAGUUGAGCGAUGAAGAUUGGUGCUUGCACCAAUUUGAAGAGCAGCGAACGGGUGAGUAACGCGUGGGGAAUCUGCCUUUGAGCGGGGGACAACAUUUGGAAACGAAUGCUAAUACCGCAUAACAACUUUAAACAUAAGUUUUAAGUUUGAAAGAUGCAAUUGCAUCACUCAAAGAUGAUCCCGCGUUGUAUUAGCUAGUUGGUGAGGUAAAGGCUCACCAAGGCGAUGAUACAUAGCCGACCUGAGAGGGUGAUCGGCCACAUUGGGACUGAGACACGGCCCAAACUCCUACGGGAGGCAGCAGUAGGGAAUCUUCGGCAAGGGACGAAAGUCUGACCGAGCAACGCCGCGUGAGUGAAGAAGGGUUUCGGAUCGUAAAACUCUGUUGGUAGAGAAGAACGUUGGUGAGAGUGGAAAGCUCAUCAAGUGACGGUAACUACCCAGAAAGGGACGGCUAACUACGUG
This 497-nucleotide ribosomal RNA is filed under the name uncultured bacterium. RNAcentral describes it as "partial 16S ribosomal RNA". It matches the Rfam family "Bacterial small subunit ribosomal RNA", at positions 28 to 507 of the family's 1533-position model. The record is from RNAcentral.